Molecule: ribosomal RNA, 479 nt
Filed under: uncultured bacterium
Lineage: Bacteria
Description: partial 16S ribosomal RNA
Rfam family: Bacterial small subunit ribosomal RNA
Source: RNAcentral
GACGAACGCUGGCGGCGUGCUUAACACAUGCAAGUCGAACGAAGCUUGAUUACGGAUUCUUCGGAUGAAGUAUGAUAUGACUGAGUGGCGGACGGGUGAGUAACGCGUGAGUAACCUGCCCUUCAGAGGGGGAUAGCGUUUGGAAACGAACGGUAAUACCGCAUAAUGUAUUUUGACCGCAUGAUCGAAAUACCAAAGAUUUAUCGCUGAAGGAUGGACUCGCGUCUGAUUAGGUAGUUGGUGGGGUAACGGCCUACCAAGCCGACGAUCAGUAGCCGGACUGAGAGGUUGAUCGGCCACAUUGGGACUGAGACACGGCCCAGACUCCUACGGGAGGCAGCAGUGGGGAAUAUUGCACAAUGGGCGCAAGCCUGAUGCAGCAACGCCGCGUGAAGGAAGACGGUUUUCGGAUUGUAAACUUCUGUUCUUAGGGAAGAAUAAUGACGGUAGCUAAGGAGCAAGCCACGGCUAACUACGUG